This 603-nucleotide ribosomal RNA is filed under the name uncultured fungus. Its description in RNAcentral is "eukaryotic LSU rRNA". It matches the Rfam family "Eukaryotic large subunit ribosomal RNA", at positions 23 to 641 of the family's 3401-position model. Lineage: Eukaryota; Fungi. The record is from RNAcentral.
ACCCGCUGAACUUAAGCAUAUCAAUAAGCGGAGGAAAAGAAACCAACAGGGAUUGCCCUAGUAACGGCGAGUGAAGCGGCAACAGCUCAAAUUUGAAAUCUGGCGUCUUUGGCGUCCGAGUUGUAAUUUGCAGAGGGCGCUUUGGCAUUGGCAGCGGUCCAAGUUCCUUGGAACAGGACGUCACAGAGGGUGAGAAUCCCGUACGUGGUCGCUGGCUAUUGCCGUGUAAAGCCCCUUCGACGAGUCGAGUUGUUUGGGAAUGCAGCUCUAAAUGGGAGGUACAUUUCUUCUAAAGCUAAAUAUUGGCCAGAGACCGAUAGCGCACAAGUAGAGUGAUCGAAAGAUGAAAAGCACUUUGGAAAGAGAGUCAAACAGCACGUGAAAUUGUUGAAAGGGAAGCGCUUGCAGCCAGACUUGCUUACAGUUGCUCAUCCGGGUUUCUACCCGGUGCACUCUUCUGUAGGCAGGCCAGCAUCAGUUUGGGCGGUAGGAUAAAGGUCUCUGUCACGUACCUCCUUUCGGGGAGGCCUUAUAGGGGAGACGACAUACUACCAGCCUGGACUGAGGUCCGCGCAUCUGCUAGGAUGCUGGCGUAAUGGCUGU